Molecule: non-coding RNA, 655 nt
Organism: Cicer arietinum (chickpea)
Lineage: Eukaryota; Viridiplantae; Streptophyta; Magnoliopsida; Fabales; Fabaceae
Source: RefSeq, a predicted model, not a curated record
CUUCCUGGAAGUUUAGCUCUUAACAUAGAACCAUCGGGAAGUACAAGUUUCUUCAACAGAUUAAAGUCAUGGUGUCCAGGCUUGUCACGGCACAACAUUACAACAUUAGAAGCAUGAUAUUCAGCCAUUGGAUGUAGGCUCUAACAUUGCAUAAAAAAAUUCAGAGCUAAUUAGCUCAUGAAGAAGCUAGCACAUAGUUUUUUCAACGAAGGGUCUAUUUUUUGACAACGUACAUGAAAACAUGUCCCCAUCUGGCUGCAUAAAUUCACCAAGGAAAAUAGUAUUGUAUGCCACUGAUGCAAUGUGAAUUGUGUGGGAUGCAGGAUCUCUAGGCCAGAAAUCAUCUGACGCUCUAAUAACAGCUGAUAGCUUUGCACUGCAUCAAGCGAAUUCAUUAAAAAAAUGUCAUUACUAAUAAAGUGUCGAAGCUAUGGGGAUACUCUGGUGGACUCACUGAGGUGCCAAAGACCCUAAUAACGGUGAGUUUAAAAAAAAAAUAGAGGAAUUUUCAUAAAAGCGUUUACUUGAAUUUUGUUAGCAAUCAUAUUUGUACCAAUAAUAUCAGUGAUGUAAAUUAUAAACUGAAAAUUAGGCAUUAUCAUUGAAGCAAAAACAAAGAAAUAUUGAAAAGUUAAAGCUGGUAUUGUGAAACUCA